CUGGUUCUCUCUCUGGGAAAAUGAAAGCACUCCAAAUGGCUACUGAUUGUAUUGGUGUUGUUUGUUUUUUUUUAGUCUUCUGUUGCUGAAGUGGAAUAUAGUUAACCCUGUGAGAGGAACUGGGGGGAAAAAUAAUUUUUGCUCCUGAAAUUAGCUUUCAAUAAAGCUUCCCAUGAAUGUCAAGAAUCAGACUUGGGCAGCCCAUAAAUAGUUGUGGUUGAAUUGGUUGUAGGCUUUUGUUUCACGUUGCUUCUUGAAGGUACUCUCUCUCUCUCUUUUUUUUCUUUUUUCUUAAAGCAAAACAUUCAUAGGAAAUGAACUCAUCAAGGGCUGUGGGUUAAAUAGGCAUGUGCUGGGCAGGUGUGCUUCCCCACGGGACCUGAGUGCUGUGCUGGGUGGCUGUGGGAGGGGGCUCAGUGAUGCACGGUCUGGGAAGGUGCAGCUGCUGGUCCAUGUCUCUCCCUUUUAAGCUCUGCUAACACACAGAGCAAUCAAGUGGGUGGGAGCCUGGCUGUAGUGCAUGUCUGUUCCAUGUGGUGGGAAGGUGACUUGUGUGCUGCUGCACGAAUGAGCAGCAGAAUCAUAUUUUGAAUAAGGGUUCAAAAUACAUUAAAACAGAAUAAAAUCUUGCUGUUAAAGGCGCUUCAGGCAUUACACAGGAGAGGAACACGUCAAGAUUUGUAACAGAAAUCUGUGACUACCUUCUUGCUUGCUUCAUGCAAGUAAGCAACCUGGCCUUUCUGAGGAAAUGCUUAUUGUUUUGAAGGCUUUUUGACUGUGGGAAAAUGGAGGGAGAAGCCUCUUGCCCUAUUACUGCCUUCAGCUGCACUCUGAAUGACAGUAGCACUGAGAAAAGGAAGUGUUUUGCUUUGUGAUUUGUGACCCAGGCUCACUCCUGGGAAGCUGCCUGCUCCUUACGGUGUGUUGCCAACCUUCAGCCAGAAACCAUGCGAGAAGUCUGCCCAGCUCUAGCGCUGACAUCAGAGAUCAGCCCUCAGUGCAAGGGAACAGACUUGGAGCUAUUAUUAGUAGGCUUUAAUAUGUAUCUUUCAAGCUUAUUUUAUUCAGAAAAACAAUAAAGGAAGUGGUAAUCAGUUGUACUGAAAAUGUGCAAGCUGCAGUGCCGGGAAGCCUGUUGUGCUGUUGGAGCUCAGCUCCAAGUAAUCUGACCAGCAAAGAAAAGCAGAAGUGGAAAAUGAAAGUAUUAGGAAAAAAACAUGGUUAACUUGGGACAGGAAACUUGGGCGCAGAACUUGAAAGUAAUACUUAAUUAAGUGGGAAGCAGAGAUAUUGUCAGGCCUUUCUCAGACAUCAGAAGUAUAUUCAAGGCUAUGGGUCUUGUCAAGCAAAUCUCUGGGCUACAAGAAAAGAAACAAAGCUGCUACCAAACUAGGCUGUUUCAGAGCUUCUGGGUGUAACUAAAAGAACCAGGAAUGAGCUACUUCUGUUUCUCUGAGCAGUUCUCAAUGCUGUAAUUAUGUUACAGGGACCUCAGUAAUGGUCUGCAUACUGGUAUUAAAAAUCUGUUGAUUUUAGUAUUUCACAGAAAACAGUUAAAUAUGAUGAAUUUUUAUAGAAAAAAAAUUCCUCCUUUGAACUGAUUACCAGUUCUUCCAUCAUUUAAAAAUGCAUUCGUUUCUAAAGCAGACUAUUUGGGCUGCAAAUGUCACAUUCACAUAUUUCAAUGCUCGUUCUAAAUAAAAAAAAAUCUCAGUUUGUAAUUUGCCCUAUAGUUAGUUUUGUAUGGGUGCUCUUGGUAUGUGGAUGGGGACAGCAAUCCAUCCUGAGAUCCCUUCUGACAGGUCAGGUACUGGGACGUCUCCCUGGGGGGGAAGUUUUGACUGAUGCUCAUACACAGUUUGUUAGGCUCCACACAUACUGCCACCUAGAACUCAUUUUGAAGCUUGUCUGACGAUGAUGGUGAUGAUGUCAGACUAUUUUGGCAUGGCACCUUAUGCAUAUGCCACUUCAUGGGUAAUUCAUUAAAAUAAAGUAGGGGUAAGCCACUGACUGACCAGACUCCUACUUCAUCACCUGGGCAAAUGAGUAACUUUUCUGUGCUGUAGUCACUGGCCUCUUUUUUGUUCUUCUUCUUUUUUUUUUUUUUCCCCAAAGUCAGGUCCAGACUCAUUUAAUUAGAGAAGAGAAGCUGAUGUGAUGACUGAUGAUGUAGGCAAAGGUGAGGGAGCAAAGGCAGAAAAGUUUCUUUAAAAGAUGUUUCCAUUUCCCUCAUCAGCAUCUCAUCCAGCUCUCUCACUACCCAGAGUUUUGUGAGCCUUCUCUGAUUGUUCUCACCAACAUUAAGGAAGAUUGGCACAGUUCUGGUAUUCUUGCUUCCCCGAAGCAAAACUGUGGCUCUAUGAAGUGAUGAGUCUUAUGUGGGAUAAGAGACCCUGCAGACACCUCCCUGCUCAGCUGCAGCUUGCCCAGCAGAGUCAGCUGUUUCUGCUCCAGAUGGAGGCUGUGCAGCUGCUGUUUUCUGUCUGCAGUGGGAAGGUUGGUGGCAAGGGGUAAAUUCACCCCAGGUAAUUCAUAUUAUUUUACUUGGAAAAAGGUCUGCUUGCUGUGACUCAGAUUGAUCCUUACCUUGCGCAAAUAUAACAGCUUCUCAGUGCAUCUCCCACCAAGCAGUGCUUGCAGCAGCCUUUUAUUGUGGUUUACAUGUGCGCAGACUGUUCUCAAUGUAGGACAGCAGCAGGCAGAGUUUCCGCUGAAAUGUGUUCAAGCUGAAGUUCUCCCAUGCAUUGUCUGUGUGGUUGCAUUUCCUUAAGCACGCACGUUUUUGUAACUUCAUUUUUUACUUAUGAAAAGUAUUGUUUCUAAAUGGUGCUGGUAUGAGUACUAAAUAGCAUGCUUUGUUCAGGCUGUGGUUUCAAAGCAGUGACUGAUUCAAUGUUAAAGCAUUCAAAUAAGUGUGUUAGGCAGGACAGGUGGCACAGAGGCGUUUUGGGUAUCAGCAUGUGCACCUUUUGUUUCUUUGCUCUAGAAAGGUCUAAGAAAGGAAAAGAAAGCACAGUGCACACCUGUGUAACUUGCACCAUACUGAGGACUGCUUCUCUAAUGAAAAUGAAAGAUCUUCAAGUGGAGAGUAAGAGCUAUCAUGUUGAGGAAGAACAGAAAGUGCACUGUUCUGCUCCUUCUGUCGGCAUUAGCACCAAAAGGACCUUGUGCAUAACUUAAACUGUGUGCAACAACUAUCACAUGCCUCUCAAAAUCAUGUCCUUUUCUCUCGUAGUUGAACAGCUGUAUUUAAAAAGAUAGUUUUGAACUUUGUAUGGAACUUGUAAUUAUGUCUGCAGUUUGGGCUUCUCUCUACAGCAGUUCCUAGCAGUGAUGCUCUCACUCUGUUGACUUCAGUGCAGUAGACAUCAGCAGCUUGAAUUUCCCCUUGAAGCCUGAACAAGUAUGGGAGAAAAUAGCUUUGGGCAACACCAGCUUAAACUGAAAAUGAAUAAAGGGAAUAAGAAGAAUUUCCUUUCUUCUAGUGAAAAUAUUAAUACUACAGUAGGAAGACAGAAGGCAUUUUUUUUAGUCAACAUAAAGCAAGUGAACGUUUGGAAAGUUCUGCAGUUUGUGAAAUGCUCGUUAUUACGGCACUGAUGAUACUGAAGAAAUAAGAAAGCUCUGCAGUGUAAAAAGAGGUGUCAAUAGGUAUGUGAAUUACAGGGUGGGAAGAGAGCUGGCGGUAAGAGGUUCAGAAACCUGAUGCUUUACAGUAACUCUGACUUCCUCUAUACAAAUUUUAGCUGUUUUGAAGUGCUCAGAUUAAAAAAAAAAAAAAAAAAGGAUGAACUUCCCCCUCUCCAAACAGUGUCUGAUUGACUUGUAACCAACAAACCAAAGGCUUAUGUGAAAGUAAAGAUGUCUAUGGCUAGGUAAGGUAUGUCAUGUUGGUUUUGAUCUCACAAAUCAUAACAUCUCAACAGGUUCUUUGACAGAGGAAUGUGUUUAUUGUAGAAAACUAAGUUGAAAAAUAAAUUGACAAUGGAAACUUUCACAGUUCUCUGCUGGAACAUAAUUUUAAGUGUAUCCUAUCAGCAUUUGAGGGUGGAAGAUGAUUCAAUUUCUUGCCUAUGUGCAGUUUGGUCAAGCUCUCAAGUAACACUGUGGGAAAGAUGGAGAGGCCUGAGAAGGCCGUAUUUCCACCUAUGAAAUCACAAACAGUUAAAUAUUUUCAGGUUUAUGCUUUUCAGUAGUUUUACUAAAUCAUAGUUUCUGUCAUGGAAACCUUAAAGUGGCAGGCCUUGACAGAAGAGCAAAGAAAAGUCUUGGCUAUUGGGAAGCAGUUGGAAGAUGUGUUUGCUUUUACUGCGGUGAUAACUCAAAUUGCUAGUGCUCAGUUAUAGAAGAAGGUAAGUGGCAGUAGGCUCUGCACUUGAGGAAACCCUCACACAGAAAAGAAUAUUUCUAAAUAGAAAUAUUUGAAAUUCUUGAAGAACUGAAUGACUUGGAGGGGAAAGGCAGAGUCACUCUGGAGCAUCACAAACUCAAACCUUUGCCAUAAAACCAGCAAGAACUUGUAACAGCUUCAGCAUGGAUUGAGCUUGGGAAUUGAUGCUGCGUUUGAAGAUUUCAUUUUAAAAAUGAAUCUGAUUUUUAAUAAAUGAAGAAUUUUCCUUUCCGAUUGUUAAAGGAGAUAAAAAGAAAUUAUAUCUGGUAGAUAGAUCUUUCAUAACUUCUUACCAUUCUUAUGAUUUUGAAAAGGGUCACUAGACUACAAUAUAGAAUGUUAUUGUGCACAGGCUGAAUGAUAGUGUUGUGCUUACAGUUGUGGAAAGAGAUUGCUCUGAAAUAUACAAAAAUACAGUGUGAUUUUGUUGUUGUUGUUGGUGGUUUCUUCCAGUUCCUACUGACCACUAUGGGUCAGGGAAGAAUCCACAAUGAAAUACUGAUUGAUGUGUAAAAAUAGUUGUGUGUGCGUAUGCACACACACUGGUGAAAAGCUUUGGCAGUCCUAACCCUUGCUCUAAUAAUAAUUUAAGGUCUCUCCCCUCUUCCCUAUAGCACUCUGGGACUAGGCUCAGAAAUAAUGAGAAUUAUAAAAUGUGGGGUUCAGAAGAAUUUAUGUAUAAACCAUAUGGGGACUUGAAAAAUAAAACAAAAUUGAGAUGCAACUUUGAAUUGCCUAAGCAGACACAACUGUUUAUUUGCAUCUUUUUGUAGAAUCAUAGAAUGGUUUGGGUUGGAAGGGACCUUUAAGAUCAUCUAGAUCCAACUGCCCCACUGUAAGCAGGGACACCUCCCUCUACACCAGGUUGCUCAGAGCCCAUCCAGCCUGGCCUUGAAUGCUUCCAAGAAAGGGACAUUAUUUUAUCUUUUCUGGACUUCUCUUCAUGAAAUAUAGAUUUAAUAUGUUCACACAGUUGAUUUGAAGCAUGCAGCAAUAAGAGACCACAACUUGGGGGACUGUUAGUUAAUGAUACUGUGGAAUGUGUAGGAUCCUGUUUGAUACGACUGAGAGGAGAGUUGGUGAGGCUUUUUAAUAUAGAUGGUUCCACAUGGAAUGAAGUGUGUGUAUAUACCGGUGCAAGUAUGUGCCUUUAUAUACAUACAGAUGGAUAUAUAAAUGUCAGUAACAGUGUGAAAAAUUCAGAGUUGCUCAAAUACAGCAUAAUAGAUCUUUAGUGUUUAUUGGGUGCAUUUUAAAUGCAGUUUUUCUUUCCAUAUGGACUGUGUUUUCAAUCUCCAUUCUGCCCUUCACCUCACUGCAGCAUUCAUUUUUCUUCAUGCCGAAGACCAGCAGGAGGUCUCUAAAAUGAUUUUUUUCCAUAAGAACUACAAGGCUGGGCCUAUAGUUUCACUGUAGAUGAAAGAAAUAGUUGAUUUCUUUGAGAAAACAGUGAAAAUCAGGAAUAUUUUGUUCAAUACUACAGCAGUGUUUGCAGUAAUUGCCUUGUACUGUUUGCAAGUCUUUCCACUUCAUAUAAAUACAUUCACUUCAGAGAAAAAUCCCUUAUAGUUGUGAGACGGGGCUUUUUGAAGGAGGUGUUUGUUUGAAGGUUUACGGUUCUCUUAAACACACAUUUUUUCUUCAAAGUAAAUCUUGUAGUCUCCCUGUCACAAAUUCUUCUUGCUAGGAAUUCUGCUUAAAGAAUCAUUUGAAUUUCAGUAUCAGGUAUUUCAAGCACAUACAUCUAAUGUCUUGUAAAAUUCUUAUAGUCAGCCAGUGGACCCAAAUAAGAAAGUAAAGCUCUGAUAGUUUGAAAUCUAUUCCUAGCAACCUGUUGCAGGAGGGAAACAAACAAACAACCCAAACAACGACAAAAAAAACCACAUGGUAACAAACCAAAAAACUUUGGGAUGCAAAGAAAUGGAGGGUGACUCUAAAGUAAAUGAAGUAUUCUUGAAAUCAUUUAAGAUCUGACCAAAAAUUCCCUAAACUUCAUAAAUGAACUCCCCAACCCCCUUCCCCACACACCUGGUAAAACCCCUCUGAUUCAGAUUUAUGCAGUAUUGUAUGGAAUAACCUCAGCUGGAUAUGUUCUGAGAACAUAAUCUGCUUGUUUCCCAAGCUCAGAGCAGAGGGGUUUUUUCAGUGUUAAUUGUUUGUGGCCAUUUCUAAUUGAGUGUUCACUCUCCCUGAAGAUGGAUGCUGCAUUCUACUGAGUGAUCAUCUUUGUGGAAUUUUUGCUCUUGCUGUCAGAAUCUUGCUCAGUGCAGUUGGUUGUUCCUUACUUGUGCAUCUCUGAGAAAAGUUCACUCUGUGUUCUUCCUCACAACUCCCCAGGCAGUAAGAUUAUACUGAUUGCAGUAGCUUCUGUAUGGACAACUGGGGUAUGCCUUAUACAUUGCACAGGAGUGAGGUCAUCAUGUUUGAGAGUAUUUAGCUCUGAACUCUAGCUAACAAUGGCUGUUUCAUUUGGUAUGGUUUUGAAAUCUCUGAUAUGUUGAAAUGCAAAUAUUUGUUUGUAAGCUAUAAACCUGAAGAAAAAGAACACUGUAUUCUCAAGAAAGUUUCAGAAUAAAAUAUAGAAUUUUUGCACAGUGUUUCUUAUGCAGCUUGGAGAUGAACCAUUUCCCUGUUAAGGUAAAAAUGUAUAUUACUUGAAACCUUCUCUGGCUUAUAUUUAAUUAUUAUGAGAUUCCAGGUUCCUACGGCUCUAGGCCAGCAUCUCAUUUCUAAGAAACCAGAAGUAAACUUCCUUGAAGCCAGGCUUCUUCUUUUUGGUCAUGGGCCCCAGGAACACUUAGUGAGAUUUUCCCCCAUUGUUCAAGGUUUAGCAACAAAUCUAAGUUACCAAGUCUCUUGCUAGAUAAGAUGUUUUUUUGUUUGUUUUUGUGUUGUUUUUUUUUGUUUGUUUGUUUUUUUCCCCUCCCCCCUCUGGUUUUUAGACCCUGAAGCUUUAAAGACACGACCCUUAAAAUGCUAUCAAUGGUAAUUUUAGCAGCAAAUCUGAACAUUACUUCAAAUUUCUGAACACUUCUGUAACUCCAUCAGCACCUCAGAACUGGAUUCAUUGGCCUUGCAAGACUUGGGAGUUGGUGUGCUAUGUGCUUUGGUGCAAACUCCUAAUCAUCCUUUGCAUCUUGACAAGAGCUAAGGAACCAGCGUAUCGACUUAGAAGAACCUGAGGCCACUGACUAAAUAAGUUUUGCUGAAUUUGGAUAGUGAUGAUCUGUCAUUGUUCUUUUCUGCUUUCAGCAAGAAAGCUCCUGUGGCACUUGGGUUACAAAGCCAGACUGGUGACACUGAGAUUUGUUCUUCCGUGUACAAAAUGAAACCUGAGAUAUUCAAUGGCCAAUCUUUUAACCCAAGCGGUUCAGUGAUAAGAAGGCAUACACGGACAUGAAAUGUUUCAGUGUGUUAAGUGAAGGCUGGGGAUUGCAGGACUGGAUGUAAGAGCUGCUGUGUCUUUUACUCCUGGAGUGUUUUCUUAUCAGAGAGCUUCAGUGGGCAGCAUUAAGACACAUAAGCUGUUCUCUGGAGAGUCCUUCAGAAAGAUCUCCUAGAGACACCAUGAGAAAAAUUGUGCCCUGUGUGGUGUAGCUUGGAUUUCGCUUGGCUGGAAAAGUUACGGAUUUCAUUAGACCUCUGUUAUAAUCUUUGCAACUCUGCCGCAUUGUUGGGCCUUGCUAGUUAUCAUACAGGAACCAGAAAGUGAAACCAGCCUGGGUUUCACCUGCCAAGCUUUGCAGGCCAAGCUCAGACGGAAGCAGAAAGCAGCAGAGCAGGCAGGAGCUGCUAUGUUAAUUUCAGUCGUAUUGUAUUUGAGGGUAAUGAUUGUGAGCCAACAGUCCUGAAGAUGCUGCUGCUGGUCUUUUGCAGAGUAGUGGUCAGCAAAGGCAUUAAGUGCAUCUCAUGAUGCAGUUAAGAAAAAUUUGCUUCCGUUACACAAAGUGUUUGACAAACACAGCAUAAAAAAUAGUAUCAGCAGUAAAGCCAUUUAAGUGGGUAUUCAUUUGGAUGUAAGAUAGAUGAUGUGUUUGACAGGCUUUUGUUCUGUUUUUCCUUUGGAGCUUCCAUGUGCUUAAUAAACACUUUUAAAAGGUUUUGAAAAUUGGUGUAAAUGAUUUAUAAAACCAGAUUUACACAAUCUAGUAGUUCAAGAUGGUGCAAAGCAAACUGGUUUAUUCCAUAAGUAAUUUGAAUUUUAAUGGAAGCAUAAAACUCUUGUAAAUGAGUAAGAUGUGUCAUGAACAGAGAAUUCGUGUGGUUGGAUGGCUGCACAAUGAAGGCCUGCAUUUUCAGCCUGUUCAGCUUCUCAGCACUAGCUGAGACGCGCAUCGGAACUAGGCUUUCUCAAAACACUUUUUCUACUUCCUGUUUCUCCUUGGAGCAGAGCAGAGAGCACCGUGGAAGCAGCAGAGAAAUCUCUUCCCAUCUCUUUUUGGUACUUCUCUUUUCUAGCCCUUCUUGUGUUCCUCAUGCAAGCAAAAGGGAAAAGACCAAACUCCCCCUUCUUUGCAUCUCACCCCAAAUUCAGCAGUUCAAUCGGAGCUUGGCUUCCUCAGGACUGCUGUUUGGCAUUCUCACUGUCCAAAUAUUGUAGCCCUAUACAAAAGUCAUUCCUUGCAGCUAGAUGUGUGUGAUCUUAAAAGCCUGCGAUUAAAGAAAUGGCGAGCCCUGUGAACAGUAGUGUAAAGAUUGGUAAGGAGGGAUCACGGGGGGCAGGCUGGUCUUCCUUUGUCUGCUGUCAUCUUCUGUCUUAAAGUUGUGCUCCUUUUUACAGCAGGGUAAGGAAGAUAGUUACAAAUCAGUAGAUUUUCUUACAGAAACUGUUGUGAACACAUUACCUUUGCAUCAGUGUUGAUCUCUUGUGCACAAAACAUUGAUGGGGGAGAUAAAAUGUGUCAGAAAUUUCUCACCCAACAGAAUGAGUCUCUGUGGAUCUGUGCGGGGUAACUUGCUGAUCGCCAGCAAACUGAAAAUGAAGCUUGCAUCUUUCUCAGUGUCUGAAGGAAAAGCCCUGAUUUUUGUUUCUGGGUUUACGAGCCUUAUAAGCUUAUAAACAUGUUUUAUCUAAGAAGAACUUUAUAUGUUGCCUCUGCCUUCUUACACAGAAUUUCAUGAACUAUAAAGGGGAUCUUUUGUCAGAAGAAGAUAGAGCCUCUUGCCAAACAAUUGUUGCACAGUUCCAUUUGCAGUGUUUCCUAACUUGCUAAAUAUGGGAAGUAACUUACUGCUAUCAGGCAGUAAGCAGAUGUGCAAUUGUUUUGUGCUUGUCUUUGGAGGGAGAGCACAUUACUUCAGUUGAUCUGCCAGCCUGAGAUUGAUAUGGGAAACAGGAGCAUUUUUGUGAUGUUAGAACUUAUAUUGCCAAUCCUUGUAUCAAUUUGAAAAACAAAUGGAAAUAUCAGCAAUUGUAGGCCAUUUUCUGGAACUGAAGCUAGAGUUUUGGCAGUGGGUAUGUGAGCAUAAAUUAACUGUUGGGUAAUUAAGGUGUUUCUUUGAGAAGUGUGGAAGAUCUUUUCCCCCUAUGACAAAUAGAGACGGAUGCUGUUUUAUUGUCAUUGUAAUGCUGCAGUUAACAUCCUUGGAGAAUUCCUAGUGUUUUGGGAGUAUCACAGCAUGAACUGUUUCAGCUUUUCCUGCACUUCCUUCAUCAUCCUCUUUGGGUUAUUUUUGGCUGUUUCACUGCAUUGUAUGCAUUUAACAUACUCUGUGCGUUUCUAAGGGCCCAGCGAUGUUUCCUUGAGGUUUUCUGGAACGAUUAAAAUAGUUUAUGCUAACCCUCUUUGAAUGUUUAUUACAGAAUGACCUACAGGGAAAUAGAAAAAGGCUAUGAAACAAAAACUAUGAAUGAAACCAGUAGUUUAAUUUCAGAGUACUGAAUUUUCCAGUGCUGUCUCUUCUCUUACUUGUCUUUAAACUAUCGUGGAUUUCUAUGGCUUUGUGCCACAGUUACUCUUGCACAGGAGACUUCUGUUCACCUUGCUGUUGCUUUAAAAGCAUUUAUUUCCAUUAUUUCUGCAUCUCUGCUAGUUGGCUUUAAUUAUAUCCAUUAAUGAGAAGUGAUAAAGAAGUGUUUGAAAUUGCAUAAAAAGUUGUGUAUCAUACUCAUUUUAGUCUUCUUAAUGAAACUGGGGUACUUAAUUGAGUGCAUCUCAUUUUGGCUCAGAUUUCCUUUCUGUAGUUCUCAUUCCAUCUACUCGAGUAUUAUGAUUUUCAUAGAGAUUUCUGAAUACUGAAUAUUUGGAAAAGUCUAAAUGAAUAUGUGGCCUAAAGAAAAAAUCAGCCAGACAAUCUUAACCUUAGUAGGGCCUAACUGUAGGUCUCAUUUUUUCCUUAAAUAAUCCAUUUUUUUUAAAUUUUUUUUUUUUCCCCUUUUCCAUUAUGUUUCUUUGUCCCAGUGAUGUACUUGGAUUAAGAGAGAGGAUGAAGUCUACAUGAAUGUUGAAGGGCUAUGGAAAAGGCUGAUAGUUUGGUACAUUUUGGUUUAAAUAAUCAUUGCAGAGAGUUUAUUGACUUGAAACAUUUGUACAGAGAUGUACAUGUAACACUUGGCAAGUGUCCUUUCUUCCAUGCUAUUGAAUUCCAUCCCAUGUAUUUUCUGCCUCUGUCCCCAGCUUGUUCCCACUUCUUACCUAUUCUGUGAAACUGCUCUUUUUAAAGCACUGACUCAUACUGUGUCAAGUCAGGGAAGUUGUGUGGCAAGAUCAUAUCUUUAGCACUUCUUUUGAAGGAGUAAAUAACCAAGGCAUGUGGACCUUCAGAAGAAAAGGUUACUAGGACAAUACUUGAAAAACAUAUUUCAAAAGCAUAUGUUCCAGGAUGUAGCUUCAUGUGAUUUCCACUAUUUCAGAAGUCUUUAUAUGCUGCAGAAAGCUCUCAGGAAAGUUUAUCUCAGCUUAUAGUUCACUUUUUUUUUCUUUUUUUUAAUGUUUCUUUCUACAUUUCAUAAUUACUUCUCUUUAAAUAAGCUUUGGAUUUACUGCAUGUGCUAAUUUGUUGCUUUUGUAACAUGAGGAUAAACGAAGACAACCAUCUUUAGAUUACCUUUUUGUUCUUUUUUUGCCCAUCAGCAUUAUACACUUGCCACAAUUUAUGUUGCCUUACAUAAAAGGAAGAGCUCUCAGGCAGGGAAACUGAGGCAGAGAGUUGUGGCACAGUGAUGUGCAAGGUAAGACUGUGGGAUCAGUCUGCUUUCCUAACUGCUUCAAAUUCAAAGAUGCUCGUUAUGAAUUAAGAUUUUAGAAAUCUUUUGGGCAGUUUUAGCUUUAUAGUGGCAAUUUCUUGACAAGCCACUGAGGGAGAAGUAAUGUCUGCCACAUGCUUGUCUUUGGAGACAUCUGUCUAAAUUGUUUGGACAGCCCCAGAGAGAAAAAUAUGUCAGAACAGGCUGAAUGGUAAGAGAUGGGCUAUCAUGAGAUGACCAACAGCAUUACUGCAAGCAGACCAGCCUUCAAGGGUAAAUUUUUUGGUUUAUGCCUGUAAAUACCUUGCUGAGAGUUUUUUUUAUGUUUCUGUAUCAUAAUGACUGCGAUCAGCUGUAAGAACACAUUAUUAUAUACAAAAUAAUCAGCAUUUGAAUGUUUGAAAGACUUUUGGUAUAAAGUUAUGUGGUACCUUAAAAAAAAAACAAACAAAACACAAAAAUACUCUUGGAUGUGAGCACCGUCAUCUGACAGAUUGCAAAAACACUAGGAGGCCUUGCAGGCUGCAGAUAAUAGUAUAUGACAAUGUCUGGCAUUUUAGGUGGGAAGCAGCCUGUGUAGAAGAACAUAGUGCCAGAGGUUAACAGCACAGCACAGAAUAUACCUACUUGGGGAAAGCUGAGAGCUCUCACAAAGAAAGCCACUCUCCUUCUUCAAGGUACCAAAACACAGCUCCAUUAGCCUGUCUGGCACUGGUCCUCGCUUGCUCCAGGCAGAGCCACACUAUUUAAAAACAACAACAAAAAAGAACUCGUCCUGUUUGGUAUAUUUAAGACAUUAGUGCAGGAAUAUCUUCAUAUCUGUAAGUAUGUUAUAAAGCCCACAGGAAACAGUGUCCAAGAGAUAAUGGAAUAUCCAGUGAACUACAAUAAAGUGUGUGACUGGUCUUUUGAAACCAGCAUGGAAGUAAAACCAGCAUGGAAGUACUUUGGGAAAGCUGUAGGUCUUUUUUUUGAUGGGGGUGGGGGUGGGGUUGCUACUAUUAUUUUGACUUGUGUUCUGUCAGUCUUUCUGUAAACAUGGCACAUGACUUUCCAUGUUCUUUUUCCACUUCUUUUUAUAUACAUUAUUUUGCGUACAUAUGUUUUUAUAUAGUACUCAUAUAAUUUGGGCAAAUUAACAGACACCUAAUAUAAAGUAACUAAUUGCAAGCAAUCAAUUUUUCUACUGGCAGGGUGGAUUUGGUGAAGGCAGUGGGGGAUCAUCAUGUGCUCUAGUGCUCCUUCAAGGGAGGAGGAGUAGAUUGUCAGGGAAAACCAACACAGUGCUUCUGGACACACUGCCACUGCUUAAUGCAUAGGACUGUGUGGCUUGUAGAUGAAUUCUUUACAAGCAUCCUUUGCUUCCAGAACCUGCUGUCUGUAAGCAGAUGUCUGCUCAAAGGUAAGAGACCCUGGCCUAUAGAAUCCCACCAAGAAGCUUGAAGUUGCUGGAGGGUUCCUCAUAAACCUCUUUGUGCCUACAAAUUACUGGGUGAUUUAAAGCCACCAAAAGUUGCAUAGCUGUAUUUCAGAGUUUGUAACUAAAAUCAGGCAGAUUGCUUUCAAGUCCAUGUGUAAGAGAUGUUUUUCUAUUAGCUAAACAUUGAGCUAGGCAUUAAAAGUAUUGUACUGUUUUUCCUCAAUUUUGCCCUGGGGACAAGACUGUUCAUCCGCUAAAGCUGACACUGUUUCAGAGCUAUCACUUAUGGAUUCCUUUUGCUAACCUAAUAUAUUGGUUCUUAAACUAAUGCACUGAUCCCUAUCGCCAUUUUCUUUUUGAGGAUUAAAACGUUUAUAUCCUAAUCUUCACCACUGUUGACUUUUCAGACUUUUCAAAUGUAGAGAUACAUCUCCAGCAUUCAAUAAUGCAACAAGCAAGGAUACAUAUAGUGGUUACACACUAUCCCAAAGAUAGUGGGAUCUACUUCAACCAUUUGAAUAUGGGAAGCCAGGAAGUCGUUUUGUUUCAGCAAACUGUAUCAAGUAAGCCAAGAUGACAUAUUUCAGUUUGGUGCCAUAUAUGCAAGUGUUUCUGUUCUACCACUCUGAUGUACAUACACGCAAUCACUAGUACUAGAUACUGUAUUAAUCCCACCUUGUGUGGUUAACAGUGUAUCUAAAGCCAUUCUAUUUCACCUUCCCUUAGCUGCCCUGGCUAAGCUUUGGACUUCUUCAAGGGCAAUACUAGUAUUCUAAAGCUUUCAUUUCAAGGGAUUUUGCCUGUAGGGGCAGAGAUGUGAGGCAUCAAUGGCAUAAUUGAUAAAAAAUAAAAUUAAAUAAUAUAUACAGGUGGAAAGGGCGGGAAGGCUGAGGUGAGGAAAAAAGAGGCGGGAAGAGAAAAGGGUGAGAAGAGAAAGCGGCGUUCUGAGCUCCUAUUGGCUGACGGGUGUCAGGGAAACUUAUAUAAGGCGCAUGGGCGGGAAGGUGUGCUUCAGGUAUUUACCUCAGAGCACGCGAUGAAGCGGGAUGCUGCGAUGGAAAGGCAGCGGGCGGACUUCAAGCAGCCUCCUGGGACAAGGUGAGGAGUGGGAUGGCUGGGGUGUGGUGGGGCUGAGGGGCAGCUGGGAGCAGUGGAUACGGAUGCCAAGCAUGAUGCAUUGGAAACGAUGAUUUGGAGGAGGAUUCUGAGGGGGGGUGCCGGUCCGGAAAGCGGGGCCUCCGGUGGCUUGAGGGAAAGGGGGCGGCUGGCCAGAGCGGGGCCCCAACGGCUCAACCUUGAAGGUGCUAUGGGACAAAAAAAAAGAAGAAAUAAUAAAGCAGUUUUUCUCAUGACUGGUGUGAUGCUCCUUAAGGAUUUUAUUUCGGUUUAUAACACGAGGCUGGCAGGAAUAGGGCUCAAGUUAAGAGAAACAUUUAGGAUGUGAAGGAAAGAGCACUGCAACAGUGCUGAAGUAUUUAAGAAAAUGAAUUUGAUGGAAAAGCAUUGAGAGAAAGGAAGAGGUAGGUUGCUCUGCAAAUAAACUAAGUAUUGAACAUAAAGUUAUGUUUCCUACCAUGGGACGAUACAUGGCAUUAGAUAAUGAGUGUUGUCAAUCUCUUAUCUAAAUUAAGGAACUGUGCCUCAGCCAGCUGGAGAGUUGUACCCAGCUUUGCCUGUAUUUCAGAAGAUAGUGGUUGUAGCAGGUGCUAUAAGUAGUGGCAGCUGGAAUGAAUUGGGAAGAAAAGUGGGUGGGGUGGAAUGUUGCCAUGCCUCGUAUUUCAGGAUCUGCUGCCGAAGAAAGAAGAAGCGACGUUGGGACCUGGGAGGCAGGAGCGAGGAAGAAGAGGAUGCAGAAGCCCGCCAAUGCGGGGGGGAAAGAGAAAGGCAUUCUGGGCAAAGCACCUCCCUGUUAGCAGGUCUAUAGUCACAUUGGAAUUGAACGUUGCCGGCGGCCUUGGGUGACCAGGCCGUCUUUGUGCUGGGCGACCUCCCUGUAAGCAGGGCUGUGGUCUUUGCUGUAGUUGGCCUUUUGCCUUGAUGCUCCUUUGGCUGCCCGGGGAGUGUGGCCCCCCGUAAGGAGGGUGCGAGCCACCUCUCCACACCCGAGUGGGAAACGGAGCUAGCUGGACCCCAAGGCCACCCUGUAAACAGGGUAGGUGCCUUUUCCCUGCCCCUUCUCCCCCGGCCCCGCAGUGCCGUUGCCUGCUGGUGGCCUGACAGUGUGCCAGCCCUGUACUCGGGGUGUGUGGCGCGGCAUUUGGCCUUUGUCCUUACUUGAGAAGCCCCUUGGCACGUUGAGGUCUGUGGCCUCCGUGCAGCCCUGGAACAGGUCACAGGCUCUUGUGUGUUGCUCGUGGGUGUGGGUUUAUUCCUAGGCGUUGGCUGCGCUGCGUUGUCCUUCCCUUCUGGAAAGUUGCAUCUGUGUGUGUGUGUCCCCCUUCCCUGUUUGCGUUGUGGAGUGAGUGAGCGAGUGUGCUUUCCUUUUAGGCCCCCACAGAGAUGGCUGCAGCUUAGCUUUGACUUCCCAGGGGGGAAUGGAGGACUUGGUUGCAUGCCUUUAGGGGAGGGGGGGGUCUU
Long non-coding RNA from Coturnix japonica (Japanese quail), 15573 nucleotides. RefSeq lists it as uncharacterized. The record is from RefSeq and is a predicted model, not a curated record. Lineage: Eukaryota; Metazoa; Chordata; Aves; Galliformes; Phasianidae.